UACGGGAGGCAGUAGUGGGGAAUAUUGCACAAUGGGCGCAAGCCUGAUGCAGCCAUGCCGCGUGUAUGAAAAAGGCCUUCGGGUUGUAAAGUACUUUCAGUCGUGAGGAAGGUGUUAAGGUUAAUAACCUUAGCAAUUGACGUUAGCGACAGAAGAAGCACCGGCUAACUCCGUGCCAGCAGCCGCGGUAAUACGGAGGGUGCGAGCGUUAAUCGGAAUUACUGGGCGUAAAGGGCACGCAGGCGGUUAAUUAAGUUGGAUGUGAAAUCCCCGGGCUUAACCUGGGAAUGGCAUUCAAGACUGGUUAGCUAGAGUCUUGUAGAGGGGGUAGAAUUCCAUGUGUAGCGGUGAAAUGCGUAGAGAUGUGGAGGAAUACCGGUGGCGAAGGCGGCCCCUGGACAAAGACUGACGCUCAUGUGCGAAAGCGUGGGGAGCAAACAGGGAUUAGAUACC
Molecule: ribosomal RNA, 453 nt
Filed under: uncultured bacterium
Lineage: Bacteria
Description: bacterial SSU rRNA
Rfam family: Bacterial small subunit ribosomal RNA
Source: RNAcentral